UUGCAAUUUGGACAAGACUUGGCCUUCAUCUUCUACUCUUGUUAUAGUCUUCCUUACUCUUGUUAUAGUCUUCCUGGCCUUCAUCUUCUACUCUUGUUAUAGUCUUCCUCUUCCACCACUUCUCAGCCAGUCUGCCGACAGCCGACAGCCGACAGACUCACCCUCGCUCACGCACAAGCACUUUACAAGUUCCAACGGAGAUCAUGAGCUCCAAGCAACAUGCAGCUAUUCUCUGCAGCCCGGGGAUGGGGCACCUCAUCCCUGUCCUCGAGCUCGGAAAACAACUCGUCACACACCAAAACUUCGCCGUCACAAUCUUCAUCUUCCCGUCUUCCGAGGCGGAACUCAAGGCAGCCACGUGCACAAAAAUAUGUGACAUCGUCCAACUCCCAGCCCCGGACACUUCAAAGCCUGCAAACCUGAUCGUAAAGAUGCGAGAGCUGCGACAUGUCUUCCGGUCAGCCGUAUGUGCCAUGAAGUUCACCCCGACCAUGCUUAUUGUGGACCUGUUCGGCACCGAAUCAUUUCCCAUUGCCGAGGAGCUAGGGAUUCCAAAGUACUUGUUCUUUGCUUCCAAUGCAUGGUUUUUGUCGUUCGUGAUUUGCUGUCCAACAUUCGACAUGGAAGUCGAAGGAAACUUCGUUGACCACAAAGAACCGUUGAAGAUCCCAGGUUGUAGGGAGUUACGCCCUCGGCUCGAUGUCAUUGAUAUUAUGUUGGACCGAACCGACCAGCGUUACCAUGAUUUUGUUGGGAUUGCAAGCCGGAUCCCCAAGUGUAGUGAUGGGAUCUUGCUAAACACGUGGAAGGAGCUAGAGCCCAUUACUCUUGCGGCGCUUAGAGAUGAGAACUUGUUGGGCAGGUACUCGACAGUGCCCGUUUAUCCAAUUGGGCCCAUAAUAAGGCCCAAUGAGUCCAACCGUUCGGUGGGUAAGGUGUUUGAUUGGCUAGAUAAGCAACCCAAUGAGUCCGUAAUCUUCGUGUCAUUUGGUAGCGGUGGGGCUUUGUCGCACGAGCAAAUGAUUGAGCUUGCUUGGGGUUUGGAGUUCAGCCAACAACGAUCAUUUGGGUGAUACGAUCCCCGACCGUAACAACUGCGGAUGCGGCUUAUUUUACGACUGACGGUGAUGUUGAAGGCCCGUUAAAGUACUUGCCUGAAGGGUUCAUUGACCGGACCAAGGACCUCGGGCUUGUUAUUCCUUUGUGGGCCCCACAAGUGGAGAUUUUGUCCCAUCCAUCAGUCGGAGGGUUUUUGUCGCAUUGUGGGUGGAGCUCAACCCUAGAGAGCCUAACCAACGGAGUGCCAAUGAUUGCUUGGCCUCUUUUUGCGGAGCAAAGGACGAACGCCACGCUUCUGACAGAAGAGCUUGGGGUGGCGGUGCGGUCCAAGGUACCACCGUGGAAAAAAGUAGUGGAGAGGAAAGAGAUCGAGGAAAUGGUGAGAAUGAUUAUGGUGGACCAAAAAGGCUUUGUUUUGAGGGAAAGAAUGAAGAAGCUAAAAGAAAGUGCCGCAAAGGCAUUGGAAGAAGGGGGUUCAUCUCAUAAUGCUCUUUCUCAAUUUGCAAAGCAUGGUGAAUCGAUGUACAUGCAACUUGCCAAUGUCAAUGUCCGAAACUGAAUUGGAGGUAUUCUCUUGUAAUUUAAUUAUCUCAAUAAUACUUCCGAGCACUAAUUCACCUUGUUUUGUGUUGUAUUUGAGGUUCCUUUUAGCUUUACGAUAAAUAAAUAACUUUAGUUAAGGUAUCAAA
Non-coding RNA from Malus domestica (apple), 1748 nucleotides. The record is from RefSeq and is a predicted model, not a curated record. NCBI's taxonomy places the organism in Eukaryota, Viridiplantae, Streptophyta, Magnoliopsida, Rosales, Rosaceae.